GGGGGGAGCGCAGGAUCCUGAGCUGUGUCCCGGCGCCCUGGCCUCCUGGGCUCGCUGCUGGAUUCGCGCUCCCAGUCCACGCAGCCCCCU
This 90-nucleotide microRNA precursor is filed under the name Canis lupus dingo (dingo). RNAcentral describes it as "mir-8799 microRNA precursor family". It matches the Rfam family "mir-8799 microRNA precursor family". Lineage: Eukaryota; Metazoa; Chordata; Mammalia; Carnivora; Canidae. The record is from Rfam by way of RNAcentral.